GACGAACGCUGGCGGCGUGCCUAACACAUGCAAGUCGAGCGGAGUCAGUAAGAGGAAGUUUUCGGAUGGAAUCUUAUUGAUUUAGCGGCGGACGGGUGAGUAACGCGUGAGCGACCAACCUUGCACAGGGGGAUAACGGACCGAAAGGUUCACUAAUACCGCAUGAGACCACGGUGUUGCAUGACACAGGGGUCAAAGGAGCAAUCCGGUGCAAGACGGGCUCGCGUCCGAUUAGGUAGUUGGAGGGGUAACGGCCCACCAAGCCUAUGAUCGGUAGCCGACCUGAGAGGGUGAUCGGCCACAUUGGAACUGAGAUACGGUCCAAACUCCUACGGGAGGCAGCAGUGGGGAAUAUUGGGCAAUGGGGGAAACCCUGACCCAGCAACGCCGCGUGAAGGAAGAAGGUUUUCGGAUUGUAAACUUCUGUCCUUGGUGAAGAGAAGAAGACGGUAGCCAAGGAGGAAGCCCCGGCUAACUACGUGCCAGCAGCCGCCGUAA
RNAcentral lists this ribosomal RNA (498 nucleotides) under uncultured bacterium. Its description in RNAcentral is "partial 16S ribosomal RNA". It matches the Rfam family "Bacterial small subunit ribosomal RNA", at positions 28 to 523 of the family's 1533-position model. The record is from RNAcentral.